Long non-coding RNA from Strigops habroptila (Kakapo), 874 nucleotides. RefSeq lists it as uncharacterized. The transcript is spliced from 7 exons. Lineage: Eukaryota; Metazoa; Chordata; Aves; Psittaciformes; Psittacidae. The record is from RefSeq and is a predicted model, not a curated record.
GCAACCAAGAAACCUGAAGAAAUCAGAAGUCUUUUGUCGGCUUCUUAGCUUCAGAAAAGAGAAGAUGAGCUACAGAGACAGCAGAAGGAAACACUUUCUCUGUGACAGAAUAAGGAUGAUCUUCUUAUUGAGCUCUAGCCUCAAGAAGUUAGAUUUAGUGGCUCUAGACUGAGCUGUGCAAAAUGGAAUUGGAGAUAAAAAAUGGAGAGCUGAAGCUGAACAGCUACAAAAUGAACUGGGAAUAUCCAGUUAGUUACAUGGGCAGGCCAAAUAUUCAGAUUUGAGGUGUUUUUCCCUGAACUAUUCACACCCACUUUGAUUUUAAGCUGGAAGACCAGAAGACAAUGAUUCAGAAGCCCAGGGAGCCUUCAGUGGACAAUCAGAUUGUGCCUACAGCGGAAGAAUCUUGCUGGCAUAUUGCCUUUGCCACUCUAAAAUCUGAUUUCACAGAAUUUGAAAAGAAAGUAUGUCAAAACUUCAGUACAGUUGGAUGAUACCAAAAAGGAACUGGAGGAGGUGCAUGCUGCUCUUGUCGUGGUCAUGCAGGAACUCGAUUUGGCAGGAGCUGAGUGAGACAUGAUGAAAAGAUUGACAUUUCUUCUGAGGAAAAAAAUAAGAAAAAAGAAGGCUUGCUACACUGGAUAUCAAGAUUUUCAUAGGACUACUUUGAAAAUGUAGAAUCUGCAGCUCUUAUACUGUGGAAUACUGAGCAUCUUACAUGGAUCAGGAGAAUCAGUUUCACAGUAGCCUGCAUCAUAGUAGUUGUACAUUGUAUGCAAUCUAACUGUAGGAUACCCUCAUCUCAACAAAAAUAUGUUAUACUAUUUCUUGUAAAGCCAUAAUCCACCUGAAAUAAACAUAUCCUGAAAACUAA